RNAcentral lists this microRNA precursor (60 nucleotides) under Sarcophilus harrisii (Tasmanian devil). Its description in RNAcentral is "Sha-Mir-430-o21_pre stem-loop". Lineage: Eukaryota; Metazoa; Chordata; Mammalia; Dasyuromorphia; Dasyuridae. The record is from RNAcentral.
AUUCUAACUGGGAGCACUUAUUGGAUAUGUAAGAACCAUAAGUACUCUCUGUUAGGAUGA